This 450-nucleotide ribosomal RNA is filed under the name uncultured bacterium. Its description in RNAcentral is "bacterial SSU rRNA". It matches the Rfam family "Bacterial small subunit ribosomal RNA", at positions 354 to 796 of the family's 1533-position model. The record is from RNAcentral.
GUGGGGAAUAUUGGACAAUGGGGGCAACCCUGAUCCAGCGACGCCGCGUGUGUGAAGAAGGCCUGCGGGUUGUAAAGCACUUUUAGUGGGGAGGAAGGUCUGCGACCUAACACGUCGUGGAAUUGACUUAACCCACAGAAAAAGCACCGGCUAACUCUGUGCCAGCAGCCGCGGUAAUACAGAGGGUGCAAGCGUUAAUCGGAAUUACUGGGCGUAAAGCGUGCGUAGGCGGUUUCGUAAGUCGGAUGUGAAAGCCCCGGGCUCAACCUGGGAAUUGCAUUCGAGACUGCGAAGCUGGAGUGCGGAAGAGGGAAGUGGAAUUUCCGGUGUAGCGGUGAAAUGCGUAGAUAUCGGAAGGAACAUCAGUGGCGAAAGCGACUUCCUGGUCCAGCACUGACGCUCAGGCACGAAAGCGUGGGGAGCAAACAGGAUUAGAAACCCCAGUAGUCC